UUUUUUCAACUAAACGCAGGUUUAUUGGAGAAAAGAAAAACCUCCACAUCCAAACAGUUAAAAUAAAAAAAAUGCCAAGUUUCAAAUGGAGUGAAAUUUAUUCCAAGUUAAACAGAUGUACAGCUCACAGAUGUACAGUUUAGAGAUGAAUCCCCUUCUAUACAGGCUCACCUGUUCAAUGCUGCUUCAUCGAUUUCAAUCAGGGAACGAUUUAUACCCUGUUCUGGAUCAUUACAAUGAACUUCUUCUGUUUGUCUAAAGAACCGUGGGACCGUUCUAGCACACUCGAGAAAUCUGGAAACAGACACACGGUAUUGUCAUGCAUACAUCUGGCCUCAUGAGUUGAUAGCUUUGUUUUUCAAACCUGAGAAUUGUUCUGCCACAGAUGGCUGGACCGUACUUGACAAUUUAGUAUUUAGAGGAUUUUAAUGUUUCCAAGCCUUCACCAUCCCGAGCGCCUCCGUUAUUUUACGCAACCAGAACAGUAUUGUUUCAUCCCAAUCUUUAGACUUCACAUUGCUGUACUCUCCCCGUGCAUUAGCUAGGAUAUAGACUGUCUCUACAUAAACACAUGAACACACAUACACAUUUACAUAGUGUACACAAUGUACACCUACAGGUAAACAAAUUAUAAAUCUCAGAAAAUAACAACACAACUUCUAGGCCCGAAUCACUUUUUAACAAGCUUAUUUCUUCUUUUUUUUGUUUUGUAGGCAUAAAGAAUCCAGUUAACUCUAUCUAGUAAUAAAAGUGUGUAAUGAAGAGAACAGUGGUACAACAUUCAAAAGACAGGGCUGAAUCUGAAAAGAACGUGAGAUCCGGGGACGUUUAAGAGAAAGCAAAGGCACGACGAGAGGCCAUUGUCCAACGUGGGCGUUCGCGAGAGGGUAAAGCACGAACCGCUGCAGGAUUUCUAAAACCUGGAAGACGUCUUCACAAUCCAAACCAUCCUUAGCUGCAGUCGCUAUGAAUAGAAACGUAGAUACUUAAGUGUAAGCUGCCUACAGUCACAUGCACCUUGUCUUAACAGAUACAAUUAUGUAAAUUCAUUGCCCCCCCUAUAGCAGGACUCCGUGAGCAGAGAGAAUGACUUGUAUCUACUGAUUCAAUAAUUCAUGGGUGUUCUGGAGCAAACCUUAUUCUGGAAUCAAACAAGUCCCGAGCAGGGGAUGUGGUGGGCUUAAUAUUUCAGGAGGUGGGGGGUGGGGUUAGGGACAGUGAGACAGUAAAGAGAGCUUUGCCUUUUCUCUAUUGUAGCAAAAGUGUAUACAUUUUAAAUAUAUAAUAUAUAUAUAGAUAGACUUAUUUAUAAAGUGCUUAAUAGGAAUAGAGAGUUAUAGAAUGUACUCAUAUGCUGUCACUUUGCUUCGUUGGUCUUCUCUGGAGUCUUCGGUCUGCUGUGUGUGCGGUUAUUUACAUCAUGUUUACAAGUCCUGUUUGAUACUCCGUCGUGGGUUGGGUGCCGUGUGGAAGGGUGAGUGCUGGCUGGAAGGGUGCUGGGUUGAAGGGUGCUGGGUUGAAGGGUGCAGGGUUGAAGGGUGCAGGGUUGAAGGGUGCAGGGUGGAAGGGUGCAGGGUUGAAGGGUGCCAGGUGGAAAGGGUGAGUGCUGGGUGGAAGGGUGCAGGGUUGAAGGGUGCUCUCUGGGUGGGUACAAGCUGGAGGGGUGCCAGCGGGGUGGAAGAGUGGAAGGGUGCUGUUUGGAAGGGUGCUAGGUGGAUGGGUGCAGGAUGGAACAGUGCUGGGGGGAAUGGUGUUGGGUGCUGUGUGGGUGGAAGGUGCUGGGUGGUUUGGGCCCGGUUCUAAGGGUGCUGGCUGGGUUGGGCCUGGUUCUAAUGGUGCUGGGGGGGUGGUGCUGGGGUUCUGGUACUGGGAGUUGAGCUUUGGAUGGAUUGGUGGCAGGAGAACGAUUCGGGGUGAAUUGAUAUUGGGUGCUGGGUUCAUGCGUGCUUGGUUGAUGGGUGUAGUGAUAGUGGGUUGAUGGGUGCUGGGUUACUGGGUGAAGUGAUGGUGGGUUCAUGGCUUGAUGGGUG
Long non-coding RNA from Gadus morhua (Atlantic cod), 2030 nucleotides. The record is from Ensembl. Lineage: Eukaryota; Metazoa; Chordata; Actinopteri; Gadiformes; Gadidae.